This is a long non-coding RNA of Papaver somniferum (opium poppy), 1173 nucleotides long. RefSeq lists it as uncharacterized. The transcript has 2 exons. NCBI's taxonomy places the organism in Eukaryota, Viridiplantae, Streptophyta, Magnoliopsida, Ranunculales, Papaveraceae. The record is from RefSeq and is a predicted model, not a curated record.
CCACCUAACCCUAUUCUUGAGUCUCUACCUCAAUCCGCCUCCUCUUCCCUUCUUCUCUAGAAAUGCCUCCUUCUUUCUCUGGAACUCUUUCUCUCUCUUAAAAUCAAAUCAUAUCAAUGAAUCUGUGAUGAUAAUUGGAGGGUGUAGAUUCUGAUUUUCUUCUUUCAUUUUCACUUUAAUCAUAUCAUCAAAUCUGCCAUGAUAAUUGGAGGGUGCAGAUUCUGAUUUUUUUUCAUCUUUUACUUUAAUCAUUCAAUUCUGUUUACAUGAAAUUAGUUCUCAGAUCUAGUGAUUUUUCAUAAGAUUUUGUAUUUUAAACCCAAUAAUGGGUAUUUUUUAUUUCUGUAAUUUGUUUGUUGUUGCUAAAGAAAUACAAGGUUUAGAUCUUGAGUUUUGGUUUUAUUUAUCCGGUUGGGUUUCCUCAAAACUUGUUAUCCUGGUUUAAGAUGUUUCUGGUAGUAACCUUAUUCAUGGAUUAAGGAGCUAUUUUGACCAAUCUUUGGACGGUAACUGAAAUUUGUUUAUAUCUGGUCUUUUUCUGUGAUGAUAAUACAAGGAUUAAAGUUAUGAUUGCUAUUCAUUUUCACUGUAUUUAUUCAAUUCUAUUUACUUGAAAUUAGCAUUUAGUUCUCUUUACAUAAAAUUAUUAUUCAGAUUUUGGGAUUUUUCAAUAAAUUUUGUUUUCCAACUCAAUAAUGGAUGGUUCUGAUCUCUUUAAUUUGUUUGUUGUUUCCAAAACUAAUACAAAUGAUUCAGAAUUUCAUAUCUUGAAUGUUGGCUUUAUUUAUCCGGUUGGGUUUCCUCAAAACUUUCUUGGUUUGCAAUGUUGGCUUUAUUUAUGUUAUCUGGAUUUGUUCUAAUGAACAAAUCUGGUUUGAAGAAUGUGUUUGAAAAUUGUCAAAUAUCAGGACCCGGUUUUUAUCAUUUUAGGGAGGGAGGAACGAGAUCCCAAUGAUGAGAAAAGAAAUUUAAAUGCAUUGAUGGGUGAUUCAAAGUAGAAAGCGUUCUUUAUCUUUUGUUUUAAAAUUGUGGAGAUUGUAAUUUUUUUUCUUAAGGAAUUGAUUAGAUUUGUAUUUUUGUUCUUUUUUUUUCUUUUCUGUAAAGACUAUAAUUUACUUAAGAAAUGACGUAAAAUGAAUUCUCUGAUAUAAUAAAAUUUAAUUAUUUUCUUAA